GAUACUUGUUUUAAUUUGCUAUACUAUAUGGAACAAAUUAUUCAAGCCUGAUAUCAACAUAUUAUGAUACCGUACUUGUACUUGUGUUUAUAGGCCCGACCGUUGAUGGCCGCCCGCAGCCGCUGUUCUUUCCAGCUUCGGCUCGGAAGGCGACGCGCACAUUGUCAAAGAUCUGCCUUGACGGUUAUAUGGGAAUUUGAAGACAAAUGGGCAACUUUUAGAGGUAUCAAUAUGCAACUCAGAAGCAGCAUACCACCAAUGGCACAACGGCGAUUCAAUCUCAUUGCGUACUACCCAUUAUUAUACACAAAACCCUUCCGACGUUCUUACAGAGUGCUCAAUCCUCCCGUCCCGUGCCUCGCUGCAUGCGCCUUCUGUACAUCCGUUACGAAAUCCUUCAUUUUCCAAGGCGGUACACUCUUCUCGUACAUCUCAUCCAAUUCUGCCGGGUUUCGUUUGGCCACUUCCGGGAGGAGGAAUAUGGUCAAGAUCCAAACGAUGGUUCCAAAACCAAGGAAAAUGAAGGCAGUGUUGUAGGUGUUGCCUCCAAGUUUGGCGCCUCCAUCAACUAGAUGGAGGGAGGUUUAACAGUCAGUAGAUUGCAUCGACACGGGCAAGCGUAAGGAGAAUGGUGGGACGUACGGAGCAUGAUAGGAACGGAGGUGUUGAAUAUAAGGCCGAAUAUUACAGCGAUCCCAGAACCCAGACCAGAAGUACGUGCUCGAAGCUUCUGGGUAGCAACUUCUCCUGCAAAGCUCCAUCCAAACGCACCCACUACACAUCAGGCGUUUUCCAGUUAGCCAUACCUUCAUUUACAAAGGUUUGGCAGAGAAGGUGAAGGGAGCAGACUUACACCCUACGUUGGCAGCGGACCAGAUACAAGCGGCGACAAUAAGCACGACUUUGGUCGUUUCAUUGUGGAUGACAUGCCCCAAGACUCCAAUGACGAGUAGCAUGGCGCAGCAGAUACCUGCAAGGACAAUGACAAUGGUUCGACGGCCCAUUCGGUCAGUGGUAAAAGUGAAGACGAUGACGAAAAACACUUUGAUGCCGACUGGAUAUUGCAGCAGAGUCAGCAUCUAGUGUUGUAAUUAGGAACGGGGGCAGGGAGCAUGCUUACAUAGGAUGGAAGUAAUUUCAAAAGCAUUGGUGAAACCAGCUUCACGGAAAAAGACUGAAGAUACGUCCUUAGCAUCAUCAUAACCGUGUUCUACUUUCUCAAUGUUACUUACGAGAUGCAUAACCAGAGAG
This 1251-nucleotide small RNA is filed under the name Cryptococcus neoformans H99. RNAcentral's name for it is "Cryptococcus neoformans var. grubii H99 hypothetical RNA". The record is from RNAcentral. Lineage: Eukaryota; Fungi; Basidiomycota; Tremellomycetes; Tremellales; Cryptococcaceae.